Molecule: unclassified non-coding RNA, 393 nt
Filed under: soil metagenome
Description: partial contains 5.8S ribosomal RNA, internal transcribed spacer 2, and large subunit ribosomal RNA
Rfam family: 5.8S ribosomal RNA (bases 1-122)
Source: RNAcentral
GAUGAAGAACGCAGCGAAAUGCGAUACUUGGUGUGAAUUGCAGAAUCCCGUGAACCAUCGAGUCUUUGAACGCAAGUUGCGCCCGAAGCCAUCAGGUUGAGGGCACGUCUGCCUGGGCGUCACAUAUCGUUGCCCAAUGCCUAUUGCAGUGCAAUAGGAAUUUCUAGGGCGAAUGAUGGCUUCCCGUGAGCGUUGUUGCCUCGCGGUUGGUUGAAAAUCGAGUCCUUGGUAGGGUGUGCCAUGGUAGAUGGUGGUCGAGUUAGAACGAUACCGAUCAUGUGCAUGCUCCCCAAAAUAUGGCCUCUAUGACCCACACGCGUCUUUUGACGCUCAUGACGAGACCUCAGGUCAGGCGGGGCUACCCGCUGAAUUUAAACAUAUCAAAGCGGAGGA